GACGAACGCUGGCGGCGUGCUUAACACAUGCAAGUCGAACGGAAAGGCCCUGCUUGCAGGGUGCUCGAGUGGCGAACGGGUGAGUAACACGUGGGUGAUCUGCCCCUUACUUUGGGAUAAGCCUGGGAAACUGGGUCUAAUACUGGAUAGGACCAUGCUGUAGGUGGUGUGGUGGAAAGAUUAGUUUCGGUAAGGGAUGAGCUCGCGGCCUAUCAGCUUGUUGGUGGGGUAAUGGCCUACCAAGGCGUCGACGGGUAGCCGGCCUGAGAGGGUGGACGGCAAAAUUGGGACGGAGAUACGGCCCAGACUCCUACGGGAGGCAGCAGUGGGGAAUAUGGCACAAUGGGCGCAAGCCUGAUGCAGCGACGCGGCGUGGGGGAUGACGGCCUUCGGGUUGUAAACCCCUUUAAGCAAUGACGAAGCCCUGGUGGUGAGGGUAGUGGUAGAAGAAGCACCGGCUAACUACGU
This 468-nucleotide ribosomal RNA is filed under the name uncultured bacterium. RNAcentral's name for it is "partial 16S ribosomal RNA". It matches the Rfam family "Bacterial small subunit ribosomal RNA", at positions 28 to 506 of the family's 1533-position model. The record is from RNAcentral.